UGUAACAAGUGUCACCUGGCAGUUUGUUGCUCUCUGCCAGGUGAUUGGCUGAAAGAGCUGUGAAAAGGUAGUGGGUGUGUGGGGUGAAGUCAGCGCUCUUCUGUGGAAGAAACCAGAGGCAAUUAAUUCACUCGGGUGCGAGUGGGUAUAUUGUCGUGUGACCACCAAUUUUAAUAGAAGAAUUGAUCAAGCCCUAGAUCGACUGCGCGCAGGGAAACUGAUCAAUAUUCGGCGCUGUCUCUGCUGUCCUUUUUUUCUUCUUUUGAUUGAUUUGUAAUUUUCUUUUGGUUAGUCCGUCCAGCCGUAAAGGCGGUUAUUGAUUGAGAGUGAGUUGUGUAAGGGCGGACUAACCUCCUUUUUUUGUUUUCUUGUUUAAUUGUUUGUGCCACUUCCCUUUAUCUCCCAGAUUGCAGGCCAUGCAUAGCGCUGAUUCCCAGCUGCGCUGAGACCUGAAUUGUUUGCAGUGCGUGUCACGGUUGCAGUGUCGCUGAGCGGGGUGUGACGGGUUGCAGUGUAGUUCUAUUCGCACAGUUAGUGUGGUAAGUCUCAGGUGCAGCUGGGAUAGCAGCAGGAUGUGUUGUAAGUCCUGUCUGGAAAUAAGGGGAAUUUGUAUGUUUAAUUAAUGUAAUAAAUAAAUUAUCAAUUUAUUUCUUUGUCCCGUUCACUCAUACCUUGUCCUCGGU
Oreochromis niloticus (Nile tilapia) is the source of this 683-nucleotide long non-coding RNA. RefSeq lists it as uncharacterized. Lineage: Eukaryota; Metazoa; Chordata; Actinopteri; Cichliformes; Cichlidae. The transcript has 3 exons. The record is from RefSeq and is a predicted model, not a curated record.